GCCUGGUGAGAAUCACUCCAUAGAGUGAUACAGCACAAGGAGUCUGGAUUUUGGAAGCCUCAUUGUCAACGUGAGGCCACGGGAAGAGGAGGAGGAGGAGGAGAAAGAGCAGAUCCCAACCAUCUUCCCACCUGCUGCCACGGAGAAGCCAUGACAAGGGCAGGGGGAGCAGAAACAUGGCCACGUGCGAACGUGUAGGUUACUUCACCAACAGGAUCCUGUAGGAGUCAGCCUCAGAGACAAGGCUACUCCCCUGCUCGGCCUCCAUCCUAGAGGAGAAACCUGUCUCACAGCAUUGAGAAUGUUGGGAAAGUUGGGGCAGUUUGACAGAAUGGCUCAUCUGCAAUUGAAGAAUGAA
Molecule: long non-coding RNA, 358 nt
Organism: Ornithorhynchus anatinus (platypus)
Lineage: Eukaryota; Metazoa; Chordata; Mammalia; Monotremata; Ornithorhynchidae
Exons: 2
Source: RefSeq, a predicted model, not a curated record